AUGAGAGAGGGGAUGAGUCCAGGCUGUAAGACCCAUGAAAAAUAUCUAUUUUAAUAAAUAGUAGUAAAUUUUAGAAGUAUUAGUAGUAGUAGUAAUUUUAUAGAAUAAAAAAUAUAAUUAGAAAAAUUAAAAUUUAUGAUAGAAAAUUAUAAUAAUUUCAGAAGAAGGGACUCAAAAUUUUAAGAACUUAUUUUAGAAGGUUUUGUAAAAAAAUAAUAAAAUAAAAAAAAUAAAAAAUAAAAAAAAUAAUAAUGAAAUAAAAUAAAAAUGUGAAUAGUGCCUAAUGGAUAAGGCAUCCUACGAGACAUUGAUGAAGCAGAUAAGAAGAUUGGGUGGUGAAUGAUUAAAAUAUUAUUUUUUUAUAAAAUAAUAUAAAAAAUCCUUGAAUAGUCAAAUUUUUUUAAUUUUUUUUUUUUGCUAUAAAUAGCCAAGGGAGGGGGAGAAGGAUUAUGCAUAAGAAAGAGGAAAAAUAAGAGAGAAAGAGAGAAAGGAGAGAAGGAAAGAAUUAGGAAGAAAUUUUGGUUGCAAAGAGAGUAGAGAUUCUGGAGGAUUUUCAGGGUAACAACUUCUGAGUAGGAAACUAAGUCUGGAAAAGAGGUAAGGGGAGCUAACCUUUCUAAAUUUUUAUAUUAUAAUUUUUUUUUAACUAUUUAUGUCUUGAAAUUUUGUGGAAUUACUGUUAAUGAAAAACCUAUGUGCUUGUUGUAUAACUAUUUGAAUUUCUGUGAUAAUAUUAUAUGUUGUUGUUUUGAAUCUGUGAAUA
This 763-nucleotide long non-coding RNA is filed under the name Vigna radiata. RNAcentral's name for it is "long non-coding RNA (VRAD_LNC016354)". The record is from RNAcentral. Lineage: Eukaryota; Viridiplantae; Streptophyta; Magnoliopsida; Fabales; Fabaceae.